AUUGAACGCUGGCGGCAGGCCUAACACAUGCAAGUCGAACGAGUGGCGGACGGGUGAGUAAUGUCUGGGAAACUGCCUGAUGGAGGGGGAUAACUACUGGAAACGGUAGCUAAUACCGCAUACCAUCGGAUGUGCCCAGAUGGGAUUAGCUAGUAGGUGGGGUAAAGGCUCACCUAGGCGACGAUCCCUAGCUGGUCUGAGAGGAGGACCAGGCACACUGGAACUGAGACACGGUCCAGACACCUACGGGAGGCAGCUGUGUGGUAUAUUGCACAAUGGGCGCAAGCGUGAUGCAGCCAUGCCGAGGGUAUGAAGAAGGCAUUCGGGUUGUAAAGUACUUUCAGCGGGGAGGCGUUACCCGCAGAAGAAGCACCGGCUAACUCCGUGCCAGCAGCCGCGGUAAUAC
RNAcentral lists this ribosomal RNA (406 nucleotides) under uncultured bacterium. Its description in RNAcentral is "partial 16S ribosomal RNA". It matches the Rfam family "Bacterial small subunit ribosomal RNA", at positions 30 to 526 of the family's 1533-position model. The record is from RNAcentral.